UGUGGUCACACCGUCCUGAAAAAGCCUGGUGCCGUCUGGCCUUGGAAGCUGAGCAGGGUUGGGCCUGGUUGGUACUUGGAUGGCAGGAGGACAGAAAGAACCCAGAU
This 107-nucleotide ribosomal RNA is filed under the name Nomascus leucogenys (northern white-cheeked gibbon). The record is from RNAcentral. Lineage: Eukaryota; Metazoa; Chordata; Mammalia; Primates; Hylobatidae.